RNAcentral lists this ribosomal RNA (253 nucleotides) under uncultured bacterium. RNAcentral describes it as "partial 16S ribosomal RNA". It matches the Rfam family "Bacterial small subunit ribosomal RNA", at positions 524 to 776 of the family's 1533-position model. The record is from RNAcentral.
UACGGAGGGUGCAAGCGUUGUCCGGAUUCAUUGGGUUUAAAGGGUGCGCAGGCGGGCGAUUAAGUCAGGGGUGAAAGACGGUUGCUCAACAAUCGCAGUGCCUUUGAUACUGGUUGUCUUGGGUGACCUUGAGGUAGGCGGAAUGGGUGGUGUAGCGGUGAAAUGCAUAGAUACCACCCAGAACGCCGAUUGCGAAGGCAGCCUACUGGAGGUUCACCGACGCUCAGGCACGAAAGCGUGGGGAUCAAACAGG